RNAcentral lists this long non-coding RNA (271 nucleotides) under Capsicum annuum. RNAcentral describes it as "long non-coding RNA (CANN_LNC012689)". Lineage: Eukaryota; Viridiplantae; Streptophyta; Magnoliopsida; Solanales; Solanaceae. The record is from RNAcentral.
CAAUAUGCUUUGUAAUGGAUAUAAAGAAGGGUGUAUGAUCGGAAUGAGUUUUUGGUAAAUGGAUUACCUUAGAGUUAGGGUAUAGCUCUAGCCACUUAUCAUUGGAAAAUACUCAAUCCAACUGUUCUAAUAUAAAACCAACACCUUUAUUCUUACGAUAAUGAUUGGACCAAGUUAACAGCCACCCUUAAAACCUAAAUCCAGUAAAUUACAAUUAUUAAGGCAUGACUACAGGAGAUUUGCUCUAGAAACAUUUAUAUGCCUACCACCC